RNAcentral lists this ribosomal RNA (442 nucleotides) under uncultured bacterium. Its description in RNAcentral is "partial 16S ribosomal RNA". It matches the Rfam family "Bacterial small subunit ribosomal RNA", at positions 338 to 795 of the family's 1533-position model. The record is from RNAcentral.
CCUACGGGAGGCAGCAGUGGGGAAUAUUGGGCAAUGGGCGCAAGCCUGACCCAGCAAUGCCGCGUGAAGGAAGAAGGCUUUCGGGUUGUAAACUUCUUUGACAGGGGAAGAGCAGAAGACGGUACCCUGAAAACAAGCCACGGCUAACUACGUGCCAGCAGCCGCGGUAAUACGUAGGUGGCAAGCGUUGUCCGGAUUUACUGGGUGUAAAUGGCGUGUAGCCGGGAAGGCAAGUCAGGUGUGAAAACCAUGGGCUCAACCUGUGGCCUGCAUUUGAAACUGUUUGUCUUGAGUAGUGGAGAGGGAGACGGAAUGCGUAGUGUAGCGGUGAAAUGCGUAGAUAUUGGGAGGAACACCGGUGGCGAAGGCAGUCUGCUGGACAGCAACUGACGCUGAGGCGCGAAAGCGUGGGGAGCAAACAGGAUUAGAUACCCCUGUAGUC